This 274-nucleotide ribosomal RNA is filed under the name uncultured bacterium. Its description in RNAcentral is "partial 16S ribosomal RNA". It matches the Rfam family "Bacterial small subunit ribosomal RNA", at positions 523 to 796 of the family's 1533-position model. The record is from RNAcentral.
AUACGGAGGGUGCAAGCGUUACUCGGAAUCACUGGGCGUAAAGCGCGCGCAGGCGGCUUGAUAAGUUGGAUGUGAAAGCCUACGGCUCAACCGUAGAACUGCAUCCAAAACUGUCAAGCUAGAGUCUGUGAGGGGAAGAUGGAAUUAGUUGUGUAGGGGUAAAAUCCGUAGAGAUAACUAGGUAUACCAAAAGCGAAGGCGAUCUUCUGGAACAGUACUGACGCUGAGGCGCGAAAGCGUGGGGAGCAAACAGAAUUAGAUACCCGGGUAGUCC